This 1314-nucleotide ribosomal RNA is filed under the name Triticum aestivum (bread wheat). RNAcentral's name for it is "partial small subunit ribosomal RNA". The record is from RNAcentral. Lineage: Eukaryota; Viridiplantae; Streptophyta; Magnoliopsida; Poales; Poaceae.
AUGUCCCUUCCUCACCACCUCGCCGCCGGCGAACUCCUCACCGCCCUCCGCGGCGCCUCUUGCGGCUCCUCGGCCCUCCGAUUGUACUCCCUCCUCCGCAUCCACCUCCCCCCCUCAGACCCCUCCUUGGCUGGGCGCGCCGCCGUCUUCGCCCUCAAGCCCCUCUCCGCCGCCGGCUCCCUCCCUCUCCUCUCCCACUUCCACGCGCACCUCAUCAGGUCCAACCUCCUCGCCUACCCCCAGGUCGCCUCAUCGCUCCUUCGUUCCUAUUCACUCCUCUCCCCUGCGGUCGCCCACCACCUGUUCGAUCAAAUGCCCCCUGCCACUUCCAACCUGUUUGUUGUCAACGUAAUGCUUUCGUCCCUGUGCCGUUCCUCUGACCUCGCCUCCGCACGUCUAUUCUUUGACGACAUCCCCGACAAGGACAUCGUCUCUUGGUCGACCAUGCUCGCUUGCUAUUUCUCCAAUAAGAGCGUAGCUGAUGGCCUUGCCUUCUUCCGCACAAUGACAUUCACCACCACACUUGCUCCAGAUUAUGUAAUGCUUGUCACCGUCCUCACAGGCUGUGCGGCGGCUGGCUUGCUGCAGCCGUUCUGCAGAUCCAUUCACGGGUAUAUUGUGCGGCGCCAGGCAGUCAGUAUGCACCUUGGGACAUCGCUUAUUGAUUGCUAUGCAAAGGUUGGCCGCCUCGAUUAUGCUUCCCGUAUCUUUGCGCGGGUGCCCUCCAGGAAAGUGAUGCACUGGACUGCAAUGAUUUGUGGGAUGGCUAUGCAUCUGCAUUAUGACGAGGCUAUCCAGCUGUUUGAGGAGAUGCGCCGGCAAGGAGUGCGACCGAAUGAGAUGACAUUCACUGCCGUGCUCAGUGUAUGCGGGCAUGCUGGACUGGUGGAGCAAGGGAGAGAGUUCUUUAAACUUAUGGUUGAGGAAUAUGACCUUGAGCCAACUAUACAUCACUACGGGUGCAUGGUUGAUAUCUUUGCAAAGGCAGGUCAGUUGGAAGAUGCUUAUGAUGUUAUCAAGACCAUGAGAGUGGAGCCAAAUAUCAUCAUCUGGACUUCGUUGCUAGCGGCUUGCAAGAGGCUUAAGAAUUUUGACAUUGCAAUGGAGGGACUAGAGAAAGUAUUGGCAAUGGAGAUAUCUGAUGAAAAUGCUGGAUUAUAUACUCUUAUAUCUGACCUGUAUGCCAUGGGUGGGCGGUGGGAUGAUGUGUUGAAGGUUAGGAGAUUGAUGGAGGAACAUAAUGUGCGGAACAACAGAGGAUCGAGCUCCAUUAAGGCGGGCAAACCACCUGGCUUGAUUGUUCCUGCCGUCAGU